AAUUUCUUCGCUUUUGUAAGAUUUUUUUUUCUUAUAUACAUCAAAAAGUUUUUCAUUGUAGUAUAUGAAAAUCCUCGCAAAAGUAUCAAUAAGCGUAUUUAAUGAAUGAGGUUCGAUUUCUUCAUUUUCUGGAUAUCGGCGUUUGAAGAAACAUCGAAUUUUUCAAAUUUGAGUUCUGUAGCUGAUUUUGUUUAUGGUAAAACGUUACUUCUCUAUUCAUCGUACCUGCAAUCAUUUUACACCUUGUGACGAUUUUUUUUUCUUUUUUUUUUUUGCACCAA
This is a long non-coding RNA of Neodiprion virginianus, 281 nucleotides long. RefSeq lists it as uncharacterized. The record is from RefSeq and is a predicted model, not a curated record. Lineage: Eukaryota; Metazoa; Arthropoda; Insecta; Hymenoptera; Diprionidae. The transcript has 4 exons.